ACAAAAGCUGUGAUAAGAACAAGUAAUAACCCGUACCGCAAACAGAAAGUUGCCGGCUGAUGAGAGGCGCUUGGCAGGCUGGUUAUGAAUACCUCUUUGAGCUUCACACCGAACAUCUUUCAGUAGGCUGUGACGGUUUCCUGCACACGUUAUAGUGCUAGAGUAUACCCAUAUCCAUGGCGUACUCGAAGAGGCGGGCAAUGGGAAUUGUUCGUAAAGGUAAGGUGGUAACACGGGAGCAUACUCUCGUCCUUCUG
RNAcentral lists this non-coding RNA (257 nucleotides) under Desulfitobacterium hafniense. Its description in RNAcentral is "T-box sequence". It matches the Rfam family "T-box leader". Rfam says of the family: Uncharged tRNA acts as the effector for transcription antitermination of genes in the T-box leader family. T-boxes are found upstream of many aminoacyl-tRNA synthetase genes and some amino acid biosynthetic genes usually in Gram-positive bacteria. Lineage: Bacteria; Bacillati; Bacillota; Clostridia; Eubacteriales; Desulfitobacteriaceae. The record is from RNAcentral.